GCGCAUCUGUGCAUGCAGCAUAUCAAUAAGCGGAGGAAAAGAAACUAACAAGGAUUCCCUUAGUAACGGCGAGUGAAGCGGGAAGAGCUCAAAUUUGAAAUCUUCAAGGUUUUACCUUGACGAAUUGUAGUUUAAAGAAGUGUUUUCUGUUGAAGUUUUGGUAAAGGUUCUUUGGAAUAGGACAUCAUAGAGGGUGAGAAUCCCGUAUUUGACCAUUAUUUUCAGCUGUGUGAUACACUUUCAAAGAGUCGGAUUGUUUGGGAAUGCAGUCCAAAAUGGGUGGUAAAUUUCAUCUAAAGCUAAAUAUUGGCGAGAGACCGAUAGCGAACAAGUACCGUGAGGGAAAGAUGAAAAGAACUUUGAAAAGAGAGUUAAACAGUACGUGAAAUUGUCAAAAGGGAAGCGUUUGACACCAGUGUUGUUUUCUCGAAAAUCAAUUAAAAAGAGUUAGAUUUUGUGUUGUAUUGACCUUAACAGCUUGCAUUCACUCUUUCCUAGCUUUUUUUAAUGCACUUUUCGUUUAACAAGUCAACAUCAGUUUCUUUUGUUGUAAAAAGGUCAUUGGAAGGUGGCUUUCUUUUCGGAGAAAGUGUUUAUAGCCUUUGACUCCUGCAAUCGGAGAGACUGAGGUCUGCAGCGUAGAUCCUUCGGGGUUAGAUACAUUUGUGCUAAGUUAUAGCUUUUAUAUAUAGACAACUUGUUGACUAUGAUUAGUCUUGUAGCUUACUCGCUUAUGCCAUUUUACCUACGCUUAGGAUGUUGACGCGCCUGUGUGCGUGAUCUAUACAUGACUCUGUGCAUGCAGCAUAUCAAUAAGCGGAGGAAAAGGCUGCGGGACUGAACGACCGCCACCUACGCUUAGGAUGUUGACGCGCGUGUGUGCGUGAGUCUAUACAUGACUCUGUGCAUAUCAAUAAGCGGAGGAAAAGUCAACUACCUACGCUUAGGAUGUUGACGCGCGUGUGUGCGUG
RNAcentral lists this ribosomal RNA (971 nucleotides) under uncultured Neocallimastigales. RNAcentral's name for it is "partial large subunit ribosomal RNA". It matches the Rfam family "Eukaryotic large subunit ribosomal RNA", at positions 24 to 631 of the family's 3401-position model. The record is from RNAcentral. Lineage: Eukaryota; Fungi; Neocallimastigomycota; Neocallimastigomycetes; Neocallimastigales.